GCCAGGUGCUGUGGCGGGCGCCUGUAGUCCCAGCUACUUGGGAGGCUGAGGCAGGAGACUUGCUUGAGCCCAGGAGUUGGAGGUUGCUGUGAGCAUGAUGCCAUGGCACUCUACCCAGGGGGAUAGCUUGAGACUUCGUCUCAAAAAAAAAAAAAAGAGACAAACUUUUUUUAAAUUGAGAUAGAGUCUCACUUUGUCACCCUUGGUAGAAUGCUGUGGCAUUACAGCUCACAGCAACCUCAAACUCCUGGGCUCAAGUGAUUCUUUUGCCUCAG
Molecule: non-coding RNA, 275 nt
Organism: Otolemur garnettii (small-eared galago)
Lineage: Eukaryota; Metazoa; Chordata; Mammalia; Primates; Galagidae
Source: Rfam